This 469-nucleotide long non-coding RNA is filed under the name Carica papaya (papaya). RNAcentral describes it as "long non-coding RNA (CPAP_LNC010440)". The record is from RNAcentral. Lineage: Eukaryota; Viridiplantae; Streptophyta; Magnoliopsida; Brassicales; Caricaceae.
AAAGGCCCUAUGAAUCUAGGCCUCACUUUCCCCUUCUUCUCAAAUCUCAAUAGUCCUUUUAUGGGUGAUACUUUCAAGAACACAUGAUCACCUAUUUCGAGUACUAGUUCCCUCUUUCUGUUCUCUUCAUAGCUCUUUUUUCUGCACUAUGCAAUUCGAAGGUUAUUCCUAAUUACCAUUAUUUUUGUGGUCUCCUCCUUCAGUUCGGGUCCAAUCCAUCUCCUCUCUCCCACUUUCUCCCAACAUACAAGUGACCUGCAAGGCCUACCAUAUAGGGACUCAUAAGGAGUCAUCCCACUACUAGUGUGAUAAUUGUUAUUAAUGCAAAUUCUAUCUGAGGUAGUAGCUCGUCCUAAUUUCCUCCAAUAUCUAUAAUGCAUGCCUGUUACAUGUCUUUCAAUAGUUGCAUAGUUCUUUAUAUUUGUCCAUCUGUCUAUGGAUGGAAUGAUAUAUUGAAAUUUAGUUUCGU